GGGCCUCUGCGGCAUGGUAUUUAAUCGUCUCCCCGGGGAGAUUCGUUCUCAUUUUUCUACUGCUCGUGGUAAGUGGCUUCGUGGUCUUUAUAGCUGUUACUCUUUUGUACUUUGUCUUUUUCUUUUAUUUUCUUUUGAGCGAUUGUGCGAACAUAGCAUAGCACGCACUAUGCCUUCUGUGUUGUAGCUGCCUGGCCAGGGCGACUGGCGGAUAAGGUCUUGUGCGUGGCCUCGAGGCUUAAAAGUAGCAGUGGGGCUUUGUGAAGGACAAAAUGGCGAUGGCGGGCCGUGUAGGUCCCCCUUCCUAUGAUGAGGACCUUUUCACAGACCUGUACUGAGCUCCGUGAGGAUAAAUAACUCUGAGGAGAUGGGCCCUGCAAGCCUCUUGCUUAGCCGUCUGUUCAGAAAAUAGCGUUUUCGAAAUGCCCUGAGUUGACCUAAUGUCUUAUUGGGCUCCUGUCUGCAGGAUUUACGCGCACGUUGGAACCGAAGAGAGCUCUGUUGUUGCAGUAAGUUCUUACGGCCAUUUCUUAAUCUCUGCUCUUUCGUUGAGUGUGUGGAAGUUGCUACGGGGAUGAUUUUACGAACUGAACUCUCUCUUUCUGAUGGAUUAGUGGAGAAAACAGAAAAUUCUGAGUAGCACUGUACUGUACGCAACAAAUGUCAGGGCCCUAUUGAUUUGUCUGAGGUGUUAGUGAAGGGUGUUAUUUUUUCAGAUGUUCAGCCCACAAGAGCUUACUGGUGAAGGAAUGGGACAAGACCCAUCUUUAUGCAAAGCCAGCGUUACAGUAAUGUUCCAGCAUCUCAUAAUCUAUCCUGGGGAAUUCAGCUGCCUCCCAGGGUGAAUACAGGUAUUCCUGAUGACAGUCUGCCUCUAUCUUACAGUAAGUUGUUUUUCGAAUUCUAUGGGCCUAUUAUCUAAUAGAUAACUUAGCCAUUUUGAUAUUUGUUACCAAAGCCUGCUUAACCCAUAAAGUUUUCUGGUUCCUCUUGUUCUCUGUAGUGAUGUUUCUAGAUAGAUGCCCACUGAUAUAUGCCCCUUUUUUCUCAGAUAGAUGCCCACUGAUCUGCCCAGGGUCAGACGAAUGCUUGUCAGUUGUAGCUUUCCAGGAUUCUGCUCCAAUGAGGAGGAAACAUCCUGCCUUACCCCUGUUUUAGCCUGGGAACCAGUAAUUGUGAACUCACCAGGGUUAACAUGAAGAGGGCAUGAGAGCUUAUUCCAUAAGGAAUUGUCUGAGACAUUUGGUUACCUUUUCUUAGUUUGUCCAUUAGCAACCGUAACUAAAAUAGUUUUGGCUGUUUGGGAUAAUUAGCUAAUUGAAUGAUUUUUUGAUUCAGGAGCAGCUUGUUGCUAUAUACCAUUGAAAAGCCUUCAGAGCUGAGAGGUUAGUUGAUAUUUUUUGUUCCUUACAGCUUAUGCCACCAAGUAGGCAGUUUCUAUGAUGAAUCAAACUAGCUCACUAUGACCGACAGUGAAAAUACAUGAACACCUGAGAAACUGGAGAACGCAGGGAGUGGGGGGUAACCAUGUCUGAGGAAUCUUUCACCCACAGCUUUGUUUUUCUCUAGGUACUACUAACCAAUAACCUGCUUGGCUCAAAGGGCCAGCACCUUCUCUCUAAAGCCCAAGAGGAGUUUGAGGUAAAUGGCUUUGCAAUAGUUACCAUCAAUGGCUGCUAUAUAAAAUUUUCUGUGAUUUUUGUGUGUGAUAGCACUGUGGUCUGGGUGAAUGUACACAGACAUAACUGGCUUAACCCAAAGUCUUUGAUCUCCUGAACCACCAGUGAUGAAUUGCUGCUCACCAGUGAUGAGUUGAAUACCGCCCCAGUCUGAUCAAUGUGUGACUGAAAGGUAUUUUCUGAGCUGUGAGCCUGCCUUCCAGUGACAUGUUCUAAAAAUUGCAAGUUAUUUGAGGAGGCUUUACAGCCAAUAGGAAGUUCUUGGGCUAAGUAGUGUUUCCUAUAAAAUGUGCCCUGAAACUUCUUUCUGCCAAGCAAUAGAUACAAUUGAGAGAUUGUAAAAUGUGACAUAGAAUGAAAGUCUCUCAAGACUACAUUUUUCUUUCUUGAUUUUGCAGGAAAACUAGGUGUCUGUGUUCACUCCAGGCUGAAGUUACAGGUGAGUAAACCUAAAUGUAAGGUGGACUAUGCUAAAAAUUCCCAAUGAAGAAACUUUCACAUGUCUUACUCUCUGUCCUAGUCCCAGAGCCUGUAAAGGUGAACCCACUGGGACUGGCUGGGGGAGAAGAGGAAGAUUUGUUCCAGAAGGAACUGUCUGAGGGAUGAUAAAGAUUUCUAUACAGAGAAAGGGAGUAAUCAUCACUUGUUGAAAACAUUGGUUUUAUUUUUUCCAGGUCUGAGCAAAUAAGGUGUAUAAAAAAUGGAAUCUGUCUUGGAGGACAUCAGAAGGUGAAUUUUCCAAGUUCUUGGACAACCUAGCUGUUGAAAAGCUUUCUGGGUUUGGGGGGUAUUUCAGAUGUACCUUAAAGUGUUAGCAGACACAGAUUAAGACACUGGGAGCCAAUGAAACAGCAGUUGAGGGUUUGCUGUGUAUCACAUUUCUGUAUUUUAUCACCCCCUUCCUGCAACAUUAUUUAUCUGGAAUCUACCUGCCCUUUUGUUUUUUAGAUACAAGGGCUUGGUUUUGUUACCCAGGCUGGUUUCAAGGCCAUAGCUUUAAGAGAUCCUCUCACCACAGAUUUCCAAAGUGCUGGGAUUGCAGGUGUGAUUCAUGGCACCCAGACUUUGCUGCCUUUCUUACAUGAUCCAGGCCCAGAACCCAAACUCAGGCACUGUAUAGAUGACCACUUUCGUAAACUACUGACCUAGCUUGUUGCCAAUUGUUGAUUGAACUUCCCAUAACUCCACUUCGUGUCUGUUCCUCUGUAUACAGCCACCUUCUGUUCCCGUCAUGAGCCUUUAGGUCUCCAUUUGCAUAUUGCAAAUACUAUGUUCCAUGUAGGUAGCUCAUUCAGGGCCUUGCUCUUCACUUCAAAAAAGGUUCCCUUGAGGACUGGCUGUCAAUUUGUGUUGCUGUGUUGGUUGUUGAUGAAAAUAAUAAAAUGA
Long non-coding RNA from Homo sapiens (human), 3065 nucleotides. The record is from Ensembl. Lineage: Eukaryota; Metazoa; Chordata; Mammalia; Primates; Hominidae.